This 464-nucleotide ribosomal RNA is filed under the name uncultured bacterium. Its description in RNAcentral is "bacterial SSU rRNA". It matches the Rfam family "Bacterial small subunit ribosomal RNA", at positions 189 to 644 of the family's 1533-position model. The record is from RNAcentral.
GGAGGAAGUAGGGGAUCGCAAGACCUUGCGCUUUUGGAGCGGCCGAUGUCUGAUUAGCUUGUUGGUAAGGUAAAAGCUUACCAAGGCUUCGAUCAGUAGCUGGUCUGAGAGGACGACCAGCCACACUGGGACUGAGACACGGCCCAGACUCCUACGGGAGGCAGCAGUGGGGAAUUUUGGACAAUGGGGGCAACCCUGAUCCAGCCAUGCCGCGUGAGUGAAGAAGGCCUUCGGGUUGUAAAGCUCUUUCAGCCGGAACGAAACGGUUACGGUUAAUACCCGUGACUACUGACGGUACCGGAAGAAGAAGCACCGGCUAACUACGUGCCAGCAGCCGCGGUAAUACGUAGGGUGCGAGCGUUAAUCGGAAUUACUGGGCGUAAAGCGUGCGCAGGUGGUUUUGUAAGUCAGAUGUGAAAUCCCCGGGCUCAACCUGGGAACUGCGUUUGAAACUACAAGGCUAG